This 62-nucleotide transfer RNA is filed under the name Sagaminopteron nigropunctatum. Its description in RNAcentral is "tRNA-Met". Lineage: Eukaryota; Metazoa; Mollusca; Gastropoda; Cephalaspidea; Gastropteridae. The record is from RNAcentral.
CGAAGGGUCAGCUAAAUUAAGCUAUUGGGCUCAUAACCCAACAAUGGUCUCACCUCCUUCGA